This 406-nucleotide ribosomal RNA is filed under the name uncultured bacterium. RNAcentral describes it as "partial 16S ribosomal RNA". It matches the Rfam family "Bacterial small subunit ribosomal RNA", at positions 30 to 526 of the family's 1533-position model. The record is from RNAcentral.
AUUGACCGCUGGCGGCAGGCCUAACACAUGCAAGUCGAACGAGUGGCGGACGGGUGAGUAAUGUCUGGGAAACUGCCCGAUGGAGGGGUAUAACUACUGGAAACGGUAGCUAAUACCGCAUACCAUCGGAUUUGCCCAGAUGGGAUUAGCUUGUAGGUGGGGUAAUGGCUCACCUAGGCGACGAUCCCUAGCUGGUCUGAGAGGAUGACAAGCCACCCUGGGACUGAGACACGGUCCAGACUCCUACGGGAGGCAGCAGUGGGGAAUAUUGCACAAUGGGCGCAAGCCUGAUGCAGCCAUGCCGCGUGUAUGAAGAAGGCCUUCGGGUUGUAAAGUACUUUCAGCGGGGAGGCGUUACCCGCAGAAGAAGCACCGGCUAACUCCGUGCCAGCAGCCGCGGUAAUUC